UGGGGAAUCUUGGACAAUGGGCGCAAGCCUGAUCCAGCCAUGCCGCGUGAGUGAAGAAGGCCUUAGGGUUGUAAAGCUCUUUUGCCAGGGACGAUAAUGACGGUACCUGGAGAAUAAGCCCCGGCAAACUUCGUGCCAGCAGCCGCGGUAAUACGAAGGGGGCUAGCGUUGUUCGGAUUUACUGGGCGUAAAGCGCACGUAGGCGGAUUGUUAAGUCAGGGGUGAAAUCCCGGAGCUCAACUCCGGAACUGCCUUUGAUACUGGCAAUCUUGAGGCUGGAAGAGGUUAGUGGAAUUCCCAGUGUAGAGGUGAAAUUCGUAGAUAUUGGGAAGAACACCAGUGGCGAAGGCGGCUAACUGGUCCAGAGCUGACGCUGAGGGGCGAAAGCGUGGGGAGCAAACAG
RNAcentral lists this ribosomal RNA (403 nucleotides) under uncultured bacterium. RNAcentral's name for it is "bacterial SSU rRNA". It matches the Rfam family "Bacterial small subunit ribosomal RNA", at positions 355 to 775 of the family's 1533-position model. The record is from RNAcentral.